This 399-nucleotide ribosomal RNA is filed under the name Pluralibacter gergoviae. RNAcentral describes it as "partial 16S ribosomal RNA". Lineage: Bacteria; Pseudomonadati; Pseudomonadota; Gammaproteobacteria; Enterobacterales; Enterobacteriaceae. The record is from RNAcentral.
UCCUACGGGWGGCAGCAGUGGGGAAUAUUGCACAAUGGGCGCAAGCCUGAUGCAGCCAUGCCGCGUGUAUGAAGAAGGCCUUMGGGUUGUAAAGUACUUUCAGCGGGGAGGAAGGGAGUGAGGUUAAUAMCCUYAUUCAUUGACGUUACCCGCAGAAGAAGCACCGGCUAACUCCGUGCCAGCAGCCGCGGUAAUACGGAGGGUGCAAGCGUUAAUCGGAAUUACUGGGCGUAAAGCGCACGCAGGCGGUCWGWCAAGUCRGAUGUGAAAUCCCCGGGCUCAACCUGGGAACUGCAUUCGAAACUGGCAGGCUWGAGUCUYGUAGAGGGGGGUAGAAUUCCARGUGUAGCGGUGAAAUGMGUAGAGAUYUGGAGGAAUMCCGGUGGCGAAGGCGGCCCC